This 1170-nucleotide ribosomal RNA is filed under the name human gut metagenome. Its description in RNAcentral is "bacterial LSU rRNA". The stretch from base 391 to 1159 matches the Rfam family "Bacterial large subunit ribosomal RNA", at positions 2046 to 2912 of the family's 2925-position model. The record is from RNAcentral.
ACCAUGAAUUUCAGUGCCUUUCCGAGGUGCCUUACCUGUAAAAGACCUAACCGAGUGGUUAACAGAAUUCCUGUGAACAGGAUCAGAAUGAUCAGCGGAAGUCCCCAAACGACUCCGUCAAACCAUGUGAUAAAGUUGUUGAUUUGUGUAAACAUUACUCUUUCCUCCAUCCUUUUGCCUGAGAGAUUUACAGCAUUUUGUGUGCUGCGUACACCUUCGGCGCUCUUCCCUUUUGAUUUGAAGAGACUCUCCUGAGUUUUUUAUUUUUGAAUGAUGCCAGGGCCUUUUUUGUGUACGGUGGUGGCGGUCAUUCGUUUUGUGUAGAAAAACACUGUAACACAGAGUAUCACAUGAAUUGAUGGAUUUCAAUGGGUUUUUUAAAAAAAAUGCAUUUAUUAGAAAAAUUAAUCGACAUAUAAUCGGGAGUUUGGGGAUUUUUUACUCCAUCCUUGCGAUAUUGGAAUUCUAACCUGCGGCUCUGAAUCGAGUCGGGGGACAUUGUUAGGUGGGCAGUUUGACUGGGGCGGUCGCCUCCUAAAGAGUAACGGAGGCGUUCAAAGGUUCGCUCAGCUUGAACGGAAAUCAAGCAAAAGAGUGCAAACGCAGAAGCGAGCCUAACUGCGAGACUGACGGGUCGAGCAGUAACGAAAGUUGGAGUUAGUGAUCCGGUGGUAUGUGAGUGGAAAUGCCAUCGCUCAACGGAUAAAAGCUACCCUGGGGAUAACAGGCUGAUCUCCCCCAAGCGUCCACAGCGACGGGGAGGUUUGGCACCUCGAUGUCGGCUCGUCGCAUCCUGGGGCUGAAUUAGGUCCCAAGGGUUUGGCUGUUCGCCAAUUAAAGCGGCACGCGAGCUGGGUUCAGAACGUCGUGAGACAGUUCGGUCCCUAUCUGUUGCGGGCGUAAGAGAUUUGAAGGGAGCUGUCCUUAGUACGAGAGGACCGGGAUGGACUGACCGCUGGUGCACCAGUUGUUCUGCCAAGAGCAUAGCUGGGUAGCUACGUCGGGACGAGAUAAACGCUGAAGGCAUCUAAGCGUGAAACUCCCCCUAAGAUAAGAUCUCUCAUCCUUUAUGGAGUAAGGCUCGUCGUAGACUAUGACGUUGAUAGGUCAGAGGUGGAAGCGCCGUAAGGUGUGUAGCUGACUGAUACUAAUAAGCCGAGGGCUUGACCU